GGGCGGGGGGCGCCUCAUGAAGGCCGGGCUGGGUGUCCCAAACCAGGGCCACGGAAGGGCAGCGGGAAGGAGGCGUGCGGGUCGUAGGGGCUGAGGGGCAGGUGUUGGGGGCGGAAUGGGAGGGACCCGGGACCUCGCAUGCAUGAAGCUGCAGGCCCGGGGCGCCCUAGUGUUUGAGAGGACGCGCGAUGCAUACCUGAACCUGGGUGCGCAGCCGCAGCUGCCGCCAUCUGCUUCAGGGUGCUGGGCUUUGACCAGGUGGCUGGGCAGCGCCAGUUGAAAGCGGUUGAGCAGGCAGGGCGCAGUGGCUCACGCCUGUAAUCCCAGCACUUUGGGAGACCAAGGCGGGCCGAUCACGGGGUCAGGAGAUGGAGACCAUCCUGGCUAACAGGGUGAAACCGCGUCUCUACUAAACAUACAAAAAAAAAAAAAGUAGCCGGGCGUGGUGGUGGACGCCUGUAGUCCCAGCACUUUGGAAGGCUGAGGCGGGCGGAUCACGAGGUCAGGAGAUGGAGAACAUCCUGGCUAACAGGUGAAACCCCAUCUCUACUAAAAGUACAAAAACCAAUUAGCCGGGUGCGGUGGCGGGCGCCUGUAGUCCCAGCUACUCCGGAGGCUGAGGCAGGAGAAUGGCGUGAACCCAGGAGAUGGAGCUUGCAGUGAGCCGAGAUCGCGCCACCGCACUCUAGCCUGGGCAACCCAAGGAGACUCCAUCUCAAAAGAACAACAACAACAAAAACCAGCUGAGCAGCGCGGGCCAUGUGGCAGUGGGUCCAGCUCCAGGGCGCCGUAGGGCAGCGGUGUGCAGUGUUCGGGUAAUAGGACGCAGACGGCGGGGUCGCCGGGGGCUUCGGGGUGGCCUCGGCCCCAGGCCAUCCAGCCCUGUGGACCGAAUGGAGUCCCGCACGCUGUUGAGGUAGUUGUGGGUUCCCCUGGCCUCGGGCUGGGCGCGGGGUCAGCGCACCUGCAGGCGGCGCUUGCGGUACGGGCUGGUGAAAGUGGAGAUGGACGGCAGGAUGGAUUCACUUGGCCACAUGGCGCGAAGCUGGGAAGACGGACACCGGCUGGGAAAGGGUUUCUUCUGUCCAUAAAAGCUACUCCAAUGGCUGUGGGAGACUUAAUUCCAAUUCCAGACCUAAGUCAGUGUUAGUCUACCACUGUACAUCUGGUAACCUCAAUCCCUGCAACCGGGGCAAAAUGGGUUUCCAGGUCUUGGCAACCUUUGAAAUUCCAAUUCCAUUUGAGAGAGCUUUGACGAGGCCAUAUGCUGAUUUCACCACCAGCAACUUCAGAACCCAGUACUGGAAUGCCAUCAGCCAGCAGGCCCCUGCCAUCAUCUAUGACUUCUAUCUGUGGCUCACUGGAAGGAAACCCAGGCAAGGCCAAGAUGGCUCAAAGAGCAACCAGCCACCUCUGCAGCCUGCCACCUCCUGCUGGCAAGAUUUGUUUUUGCAUCCUGUGAAGAGCCAAGGAGGCACCAGGGCAUAAGUCUACUCACUUAUAUCUGUCUGGAACAUAACGCUUGUUUGUUUUUACAACAAAUAAAAUUGAUCUUGAAUAAAAA
Molecule: long non-coding RNA, 1564 nt
Organism: Homo sapiens (human)
Lineage: Eukaryota; Metazoa; Chordata; Mammalia; Primates; Hominidae
Source: Ensembl